This 71-nucleotide transfer RNA is filed under the name bacterium. Its description in RNAcentral is "tRNA-Trp". It matches the Rfam family "tRNA". Rfam says of the family: Transfer RNA (tRNA) molecules are approximately 80 nucleotides in length. Their secondary structure includes four short double-helical elements and three loops (D, anti-codon, and T loops). The record is from RNAcentral.
GGGGGGUUAGUUUAUCGGUAGAACAGCGGUCUCCAAAACCGCUAGGAGAGGUUCGAUUCCUCUACCCCCCG